This 329-nucleotide unclassified non-coding RNA is filed under the name soil metagenome. RNAcentral describes it as "partial contains 5.8S ribosomal RNA, internal transcribed spacer 2, and large subunit ribosomal RNA". The stretch from base 1 to 120 matches the Rfam family "5.8S ribosomal RNA", at positions 35 to 154 of the family's 154-position model. The record is from RNAcentral.
GAUGAAGAACGCAGCGAAAUGCGAUAAGUAAUGUGAAUUGCAGAAUUCAGUGAAUCAUCGAAUCUUUGAACGCACAUUGCGCCCCUUGGUAUUCCGAGGGGCAUGCCUGUUCGAGCGUCAUUAUAACCCCUCAAGCUCAGCUUGGUGUUGGGGCCUGCUGCACUGGCAGCCCUUAAAAUCGGUGGCGGCGCCAUCUGGCUCUAAGCGUAGUAAUUCUUCUCGCUAUGGAGUCCUGGUGGAUGCUUGCCAUCAACCCCCAAUUUUUCUAUGGUUGACCUCGGAUCAGGCAGGGAUACCCGCUGAACUUAAGCAUAUCAAUAAGCGGAGGA